CCUACGGGAGGCAGCAGUGGGGAAUAUUGCACAAUGGGGGAAACCCUGAUGCAGCAACGCCGCGUGAGUGAAGAAGUAUUUCGGUAUGUAAAGCUCUAUCAGCAGGGAAGAGAAUGACGGUACCUGACUAAGAAGCCCCGGCUAACUACGUGCCAGCAGCCGCGGUAAUACGUAGGGGGCAAGCGUUAUCCGGAUUUACUGGGUUGAAAGGGAGCGUAGACGGCUGUACAAGUCUGAAGUGAAAGCCCGUGGCCCAACCCCGGGACUGCUCUUGGAACUGCGUGGCUGGAGUGCAGGAGGGGCAGGCGGAAUUCCUGGUGUAGCGGUGAAAUGCGUAGAUAUCAGGAGGAACACCGGUGGCGAAGGCGGCUCUCUGGACUGUAACUGACACUGAGGCACGAAAGCGUGGGGAGCAAACAGGAUUAGAUACCCGUGUAGUC
Molecule: ribosomal RNA, 440 nt
Filed under: uncultured bacterium
Lineage: Bacteria
Description: partial 16S ribosomal RNA
Rfam family: Bacterial small subunit ribosomal RNA
Source: RNAcentral